AGCAGCCGCGGUAAUUCCAGCUCCAAUAGCGUAUAUUAAAGUUGUUGCAGUUAAAAAGCUCGUAGUUGAAUUUCGGGGUCUGUCCGUCGGUCGGGCUUCACGGUCCGUACUGGUGUGAUGGGUUCCUACCUUCUGAAUAACCGGCAUGCCAUUCAGUUGGUGCGCCGGGGAAGCAGAGCUAUUACCUUGAAAAAUUAGAGUGCUUAAAGCAGGCUAGUGCUUGAAUAGAUUAGCAUGGAAUAAUAAAAUAGGACGGCAUGGUUCUAUUUUGUUGGUUUCUAGGAUCACCGUAAUGAUUAAUAGGGAUAGUUGGGGGCAUUAGUAUUCAAUUGUCAGAGGUGAAAUUCUUGGAUUUAUUGAAGACUAACUUCUGCGAAAGCAUUUGCCAAGGAUGUUUUCAUUAAUCAAGAACGAAAGUUAGGGGAUCGAAGACGAUCAGAUACCGUCGUAGUCUUAACCAUAAACUAUGCCGACUAGGGAUCGGACGA
Molecule: ribosomal RNA, 488 nt
Filed under: uncultured Acaulospora
Lineage: Eukaryota; Fungi; Glomeromycota; Glomeromycetes; Diversisporales; Acaulosporaceae
Description: SSU rRNA
Rfam family: Eukaryotic small subunit ribosomal RNA
Source: RNAcentral